Molecule: ribosomal RNA, 519 nt
Filed under: uncultured eukaryote
Lineage: Eukaryota
Description: SSU rRNA
Rfam family: Eukaryotic small subunit ribosomal RNA
Source: RNAcentral
AGGGCACCACCAGGAGUGGAGCCUGCGGCUUAAUUUGACUCAACACGGGAAAUCUCACCAGGCCCGGACACCGGAAGGAUUGACAGAUUGAGAGCUCUUUCUUGAUUCGGUGGGUGGUGGUGCAUGGCCGUUCUUAGUUGGUGGAGCGAUUUGUCUGGUUAAUUCCGAUAACGAACGAGACUCUGGCCUACUAACUAGACGUUGGAUCCCUUUGUGGGUCCAUCGUAGCUUCUUAGAGGGACGGGCGGCGUUUAGCCGCACGAGAUUGAGCAAUAACAGGUCUGUGAUGCCCUUAGAUGUUCUGGGCUGCACGCGCGCUACACUGAAGGAAUCAGCGUGUGUUCCCUAUCCGAAAGGAUUGGGAAACCCGUUGAACCUCCUUCGUGAUGGGGAUUGGGGAUUGCAAUUAUUCCCCAUGAACGAGGAAUUCCCAGUAGGCGCGAGUCAUAAGCUUGCGUCGAUUACGUCCCUGCCCUUUGUACACACCGCCCGUCGCUACUACCGAUCGAGUGAUUUAGU